GACGAACGCUGGCGGCGUGCUUAACACAUGCAAGUCGAACGGAAAGGCCCUGCUUUUGUGGUGGGCUCGAGUGGCGAACGGGUGAGUAACGUGUGAGUAACCUGACCUUGACUUUGGGAUAACUUAAGGAAACUGGGGCGAAUCCCGGAUAGGAGGUUCUGCUGCAUGGUGGGGGUUGGGAAGUUUGUGCGGUUGGGGAUGGUCUCGGUGGUUAUCGGGUUGUGGGUGGGGUAGUGGCUUACCCAGGCUUUGACGGGUAGCUGGCCUGCUUGGGUUACCGGCCACAUUGGGCCUGAACUGCGGCCCGGACUGCUGCGGGAGGCAGCAGUGGGGAAUAUUGCACGAUGGGCGGAAGCCUGAUGCAGCAACGCCGCGUGCGGGAUGACGGCCUUCGGGUUGUAAGCAGCUUUCGCCUGUUACGAAGCGUGAGUGACGGUAAUGGGUAAAGAAGCACCGGCUAACUACGUG
Molecule: ribosomal RNA, 468 nt
Filed under: uncultured bacterium
Lineage: Bacteria
Description: partial 16S ribosomal RNA
Rfam family: Bacterial small subunit ribosomal RNA
Source: RNAcentral